This 846-nucleotide ribosomal RNA is filed under the name uncultured bacterium. RNAcentral describes it as "bacterial SSU rRNA". It matches the Rfam family "Bacterial small subunit ribosomal RNA", at positions 60 to 902 of the family's 1533-position model. The record is from RNAcentral.
AGUCGACGGCAGCGCGGGGCAACCUGGCGGCGAGUGGCGAACGGGUGAGUAAUAUAUCGGAACGUACCCAAGAGUGGGGGAUAACGUAGCGAAAGUUACGCUAAUACCGCAUACGAUCUAAGGAUGAAAGUGGGGGAUCGCAAGACCUCAUGCUCCUGGAGCGGCCGAUAUCUGAUUAGCUAGUUGGUGAGGUAAAGGCUCACCAAGGCGACGAUCAGUAGCUGGUCUGAGAGGACGACCAGCCACACUGGAACUGAGACACGGUCCAGACUCCUACGGGAGGCAGCAGUGGGGAAUUUUGGACAAUGGGCGCAAGCCUGAUCCAGCAAUGCCGCGUGAGUGAAGAAGGCCUUCGGGUUGUAAAGCUCUUUUGUCAGGGAAGAAACGGCUGAGGAUAAUACCUUCGGCUAAUGACGGUACCUGAAGAAUAAGCACCGGCUAACUACGUGCCAGCAGCCGCGGUAAUACGUAGGGUGCAAGCGUUAAUCGGAAUUACUGGGCGUAAAGCGUGCGCAGGCGGUUUUGUAAGUCUGUCGUGAAAGCCCCGGGCUCAACCUGGGAAUUGCGAUGGAGACUGCAAGGCUUGAAUCUGGCAGAGGGGGGUAGAAUUCCACGUGUAGCAGUGAAAUGCGUAGAGAUGUGGAGGAACACCCGAUGGCGAAGGCAGCCCCCUGGGUCAAGAUUGACGCUCAUGCACGAAAGCGUGGGGAGCAAACAGGAUUAGAUACCCUGGUAGUCCACGCCCUAAACGAUGUCUACUAGUUGUCGGGUCUUAAUUUGACUUGGUAACGCAGCUAACCGCGUGAAGUAGACCGCCUGGGGAGUACGGUCGCAAGAUUAAAACUC